Molecule: long non-coding RNA, 483 nt
Organism: Lactuca sativa (garden lettuce)
Lineage: Eukaryota; Viridiplantae; Streptophyta; Magnoliopsida; Asterales; Asteraceae
Source: RefSeq, a predicted model, not a curated record
UAUUUUCUUUCUUUUCCUUUCCUUCUGUCAUCUGCUUCCUUUCCCCACCUCUUCUUUCUUAUUUGGAUUCUCCAGGCGAUAUGCUACUGUGGCGAUUCAGUCGGUGGCGGGUCAGCCUCAAUUUCAUAACAUUUUAAGGGAUUGCUGUUGGUGUUCAUCGACGGUCGUGGUGGGUCGGAGGUGCCAUGGUGAUGUGAAGAAAUAGAGAAAAAGGAAUAUAGUCAUCACUUGCUGAUACCGACGACAAUCCGUUUUCUGCAUUAGCCAGAUUGAAUGACUUCAAAGGAGUUUUAUACACAACAGUACCAAGGCCAUCGGCUACUUUUGACAUGUUCCCUUCUUGGCCUAUGAGAGUUCAUCAAACCCCAAGAGUAGGUACUUGCUGAUAUGGUUCUUUUUGCUCAACCUCCAAAUCUGGUCUCAUGUAAGCAGUAGGAAAUAAUCGUGAAGAAAAUUUGAUUUUAACAGUUUUGGACCAAACUG